GUGGGGAAUAUUGGUCAAUGGGGGAAACCCUGAACCAGCAACGCCGCGUGAAGGAAGAAGGCUUUCGGGUUGUAAACUUCUUUUACCAGGGACGAAACAAAUGACGGUACCUGGUGAAUAAGCCACGGCUAACUACGUGCCAGCAGCCGCGGUAAUACGUAGGUGGCGAGCGUUAUCCGGAUUUAUUGGGUGUAAAGGGCGUGUAGGCGGGACAGCAAGUCAGAUGUGAAAACCAGAGGCUCAACCUCUGGCCUGCAUUUGAAACUGUUGUUCUUGAGUGUCGGAGAGGUAAUCGGAAUUCCGUGUGUAGCGGUGAAAUGCGUAGAUAUACGGAGGAACACCAGUGGCGAAGGCGGAUUACUGGACGAUAACUGACGCUGAGGCGCGAAAGCGUGGGGAGCAAACAGGAUUAGAUACCCGGGUAGUCC
RNAcentral lists this ribosomal RNA (428 nucleotides) under uncultured bacterium. Its description in RNAcentral is "partial 16S ribosomal RNA". It matches the Rfam family "Bacterial small subunit ribosomal RNA", at positions 354 to 796 of the family's 1533-position model. The record is from RNAcentral.